UGCAUCGAGCAAGCUUUACAGUCUAAAUACCCGGAUGUUGUUCUCGCCCCGCCUCCUUUGUCGGGGAUGCGACAUGGGAUGCGAUCGAUCGCAGGUGUCUUGUGAGACAGCCAGGUAUCCCAGAAUGCAUUUCGCAGCAACCAGUGGAGGGGAAAACUAAAGUGUUCCCGCAGGUCACCCUGGAGGUGACCUUUGACUUCCUGGUCCACAACAGCGAGCAACAGGCCAGGCCCCUCAGAUCAAGUGUGAAGACAUCUGAGCAGGAUUACGCAAAAACAACUGGGACAUUUUCCAUGACAUCUUGGGGGCAUGACCCAUAGAAGAGCCCGUUACAUUUUGGAACGCAUCCAGAUAAACGGUUAGUCCCAG
Scophthalmus maximus (turbot) is the source of this 369-nucleotide long non-coding RNA. RefSeq lists it as uncharacterized. The transcript is spliced from 3 exons. The record is from RefSeq and is a predicted model, not a curated record. Lineage: Eukaryota; Metazoa; Chordata; Actinopteri; Pleuronectiformes; Scophthalmidae.